AAUGGGUUUUAUUAGCACGUUACACAGCAGAGUGAACCCAUCACUGGGCUCGAGCUGUGUUUUGAUGAGUGUGAUGCAGAACACAAGCACGCAGGCAUCUUGGCAUCCAGGCUCAUCAGGUAGCUCGAGUUCUUUUGUUCCUUGGUGUGGCAGUGCAAGGACAAUUCCAAACAUUUAUCGAGUGCCGACUUUGUCCAGGGCCUGCCAUGAAGUCGAAGUCAUGGGUCGCAAGGGAUAAAAGACACAGUUGGGAGAUGAAGCCCUCAGUUACAACAGGGCACCGACCAUCCUGGGGCAGGCACAGAGGGGUGGCCCCUCACUUAGAGCAGGAGUCCAGGGAGAACCUUCUAGAAGUGACGAGGGAGUGGGGAGGUUCACAUUUGCUAGAAUUUGAAACAGAAAAGUCUCUCCUUUUUCUCCUAGUUUCACGUGGCUUCAUCCAGUCUUUAGUGAGUGUUGGAGUCAGAGAUGGUACGACAGUUCACUGGAUGACAACUCGGCUAGGCCAUGGGAACCACUGUGCCCGGCUGCUCUGUCAAAAACUAGUCCAGUUGUUGCUGUGAGAUUAAAGUGCUGUUGUUCGCUAUAGAAAAGAAAAUGCACGGGAGAACUAAGAAACCAAUGUCAAUAUUAGGAGCUUAAAGACCUUGUAAGUAAACAAGAGGGUUGAUCUUCCUUUGGUGUGUUUGCUUUGAGUUGUUCACUCUGAACUUUUGCUGCUUUGGUGUUGGCUGGGGGAUAUAUUUGUGGCUUUCUUAAAAACAGACUAUAGGGCUGGGGAUUUAGCUCAGUGGUUCUGCCACCUGCCUCGAAAGUGCAAGGACCUGAGUUUGAUCCCCAGUACCAAAAAAAAAAAAAGACUAUGAAAGUGGCUCUAAGUUCAAAAUGUACUAUUUUUUGGAGUAGGGCUGCUCACACAGUUGAGAUGUGUUUUCCCUAGAAAACAAGAAUAAGCACAGUGAGGGGUAAGAACCUGGGUGUUAUGGGGGUGCUGAGCACCCCAUUGCGAUCUAGGUGGAGCAUCCGUGCUUCCUUCUGGACCAAACCCAGGACCGGUUCACACCUGCUGCUGUGGGCUGCAUAGCACCUUCGAGCAUCUCAUUCUGGGAAGAUACAGCUCAGGCAAAACCGACUGCUGGAUAUAUUGGUGUCACUAGGCCAGAAUCCUUACCGAGCAAACAGUAUCGUAAAACAAACAGGUGCUUCUGGUUUGUUUAGUGUGUGUGUGUGUGUGUGUGCCUGUGUGUGUGUGUGUUGGUGCCAGGGAUUGAAUAGUGUAUUUUUUACAGUGUAAUCACCCGUCUCUAACAAAAUGCAGCUGAGUCACAGGCUGUUUGUGGAGGCUGUGGGAGCCAACACUGGGUGCUGGGUUUCCUCUGCCUUUUAAAGUUUUGCCCUUUAGAAGUUUCCCCAGCCCCUUGGAAGGAAGGGACGGAUGUGCCUGCAUCUUUUGCGCUGAGCUACCCGGUAAGAGCCUGGCCCUUGACCCCGGCUGCUUUGAGCAGCCUGGGGAAAGAGUGCCCUCUUGUGGACGGCCCACUACUUGCAAAUUCAGGAACCAUUGCUCAGGUUCUCAGAGCGGGGUCAGUAUUUGAACCGUCUUUGUAGAGAACACAAAAGGGCUACUUUUAUGUUAGAAGAUAGAGCAGCUUGCUUGGGAUUUACAAAGUGAUUUGAAGAGACCAGGGAAUCUAUUACAUUAAUAGUUUUUCUUACAAAGAUAUGACCUCCCUCUCUAGCCAAAAUUUCCCUUUUCAAAUCUAAUAAUGCCUGGGAAUAUAUGUGUGAGUCCAUGGGUUCAAUCCCAGCACUAAAAAAAAAAAAAAGUCUCAAAACCUUUAAGUUUAUAUGACUUUAAAUGUCUUGCUUUUUGAAAAUAGAAACAAGAUGAAUAGCAGGGAUAUGUAGGACAUUAGGACAUUUAUGUUCAGUAAAGAUAGCUGAAUCUUUAAAAAUCAUUAUAAGAAGAUAAAUUAUUUUUGUAAAUUUCAAAUUGAAGUGUUGUGUUGUAUAUUAGUAAUGUGUCACAAGUGCUUUGAGCAAUAUCCUCUACUUCCCUAAUGUACUGUUUAUCAAAGGUGCAGAAAAAUAGAUCAUCCACAACAAUCUCUCCAGAAUUAAUAUUGCACAGUAAAUAUUGCAUAUUUUCUUUUUUACACUCAGAGGAGGUGACAAUGGAAUCUCCACAACUUUGCUAUUUGCUUAGCCUGUUGUGGGAGUACUGUUUGUGGAUCAUCAUUAAUGGGGAUUAAACGAGAUACUAUGUGAGAGAUGCUGAGCACAGUGACUUCCAUUUUGUAAUGUGAUUCAAUAAAUCUUAGCUGCCACUAUAUCAAAAUCACUUUCUAUCUCUUUCUGUUCCUCUCUUUUUUUUGGCUUAUGUUAUGAAAUAAAACACAUAGAAC
This 2405-nucleotide long non-coding RNA is filed under the name Heterocephalus glaber (naked mole-rat). Its description in RNAcentral is "lncRNA (ENSHGLG00000038253.1)". Lineage: Eukaryota; Metazoa; Chordata; Mammalia; Rodentia; Bathyergidae. The record is from RNAcentral.